Molecule: long non-coding RNA, 1330 nt
Filed under: Equus caballus (horse)
Lineage: Eukaryota; Metazoa; Chordata; Mammalia; Perissodactyla; Equidae
Description: lncRNA (ENSECAG00000034390.2)
Source: RNAcentral
UGAAAAUCAUUGAACUUACUUUCAAGAUCUCCAAAUAUAACCAGUAAUAUUAAUGAUAUAAACAGUAAUAUAAGCCAAUGCUUUAAGUAUUCACUUUAUUUUGGAAUGUUUGCUCAAUCUCAUCCUCAAUAAAGUAUUUUUAUUUCUGAAUGUACCUCUGAAAAUCAUAUUGGCAUCUGAUCUUUACUCUGUAUGUCUGUCCUUGAUCUUUGAACGUGCAUCUCAUUCCCAUAUUUUUCAAAUUUGCUUGAAUCUAAUAAAUUGUUUUCUGUAUUUUUUUUGUCCUUAUUUUAUAGCUGAGAAAGAGAGAAUAAAUCCUGCAAACCCCACAGCAUGUUAAGGGAUUCCAGCCCAGGAUCCUUAUUCUGUAAGGCACAUUUUCCUCGCAGGGCCAGGUGGUGUCUCCUGAACACCUUCUAGUCCCCAGACCUCUUCAGGAAACUGCAGUUAUAGAAAACAAAGCAGCAUUGCUCAGUUUGAAUGGUAAAGGAUGGAAUUUUUGUGUCAACUGUGAGUGGAGUAGCCUCCAGCAAUGAGACCUCUGGACAGCUGUUCUUCCUCUCCCACUCAGCAAAGACACUGGUGGUGUGUCGCUCCCGUGAGCUUGCUGGGAAAACAGAUGUAGUGCUGGGUGGGUACCACAGUCUGACCUUCUGUAAGUCUUUUAAUAAGAAAUUGAUUACUAUACUGUAAUAUCUGCAAAGAAAUAAAGUGAACAAGGUGAUGAUUCUGAGUUAGAAAGUUGCAUGAAUUCUUUCAGCUCUUUGAGUACAGCUGAAGAAAGGCACACAUUUUUAUUUCUAUUUAACUCUAAGCCUACAGAGAGGAAACAGUUCAACAUAUGAGCACAAUUAAAGCAGAGCUAAUAUGGUAAAGUGCCACCUUCCUUCACAUUCCUGUUUUUUUCAUGCAGAACUGGCUACUUGAUUUGCUGAGCCCAGUGCAAAAUAAAAAUCUGGGGCCCCUUGCUCACAAAGGAUAAAGAGUACCAAGAUGGCAACAGCAGAGCAUUAAACCAAGUGUGGGCCCUUUUGAGUAUGGGCCUGUGUGACCGCACGGUUCUGUGCCCAUGAAGCCAGCUGUACCAUCAUAGUUUGAUUCACCAUAUUCUUUAUUUCAUCACUGUUGGAUCUAGCAUUUUCACUUACCAAUAAUCCCUUCUCUUUUUUACUUUAUGAUGGACAAACUCUUCCCUUUAUUCAUAGUCUUACUUGAAAGAUAAAUAUUAAAUAGUUUUUAAUUUAUUUACUAUUGACAAAUUAUUAAAUUCUUCCUAGGCAGAAAGGAUAACUAAAAUAAAUUCGGAAUUCCAUGAGGUAAAAGAAAAAAG